CCUUGGGCCCGGCAUAACCCCGGGAAACUGGGGAUAAUUCCGGAUAACGCACAUAUGCUGGAAUGCUUUAUGCGUCAAAUGGAUUCGUCUGCCCAAGGAUGGGUCUGCGGCCUAUCAGGUAGUAGUGGGUGUAAUGUACCUACUAGCCGACGACGGGUACGGGUUGUGAGAGCAAGAGCCCGGAGAUGGAUUCUGAGACAUGAAUCCAGGCCCUACGGGGCGCAGCAGGCGCGAAAACUUUACAAUGCGGGAAACCGUGAUAAGGGGACACCGAGUGCCAGCAUCAUAUGCUGGCUGUCCGGGUGUGUAAAAUACACCUGUUAGCAAGGGCCGGGCAAGACCGGUGCCAGCCGCCGCGGUAACACCGGCGGCCCGAGUGGUGAUCGUGAUUAUUGGGUCUAAAGGGUCCGUAGCCGGUUUGGUCAGUCCUCCGGGAAAUCUGACGGCUUAACCGUUAGGCUUUCGGAGGAUACUGCCAGGCUUGGAACCGGGAGAGGUAAGAGGUACUACAGGGGUAGGAGUGAAAUCUUGUAAUCCCUGUGGGACCACCUGUGGCGAAA
This 560-nucleotide ribosomal RNA is filed under the name Methanosarcina sp. enrichment culture clone C03. RNAcentral's name for it is "bacterial SSU rRNA". It matches the Rfam family "Archaeal small subunit ribosomal RNA", at positions 113 to 671 of the family's 1478-position model. The record is from RNAcentral. Lineage: Archaea; Methanobacteriati; Methanobacteriota; Methanomicrobia; Methanosarcinales; Methanosarcinaceae.